This 577-nucleotide long non-coding RNA is filed under the name Astyanax mexicanus (Mexican tetra). RNAcentral's name for it is "lncRNA (ENSAMXG00005019046.1)". The record is from RNAcentral. Lineage: Eukaryota; Metazoa; Chordata; Actinopteri; Characiformes; Acestrorhamphidae.
GAUUUGCAGGGCCUCCAGGGAGACAAGGACCUGCAGGUGAAAAAGGAAUCAAAGGCUCGGCAGGAGAUCCAGGCACUGAUGGAGAAAAAGGACAAAGAGGUAAGUUGUGUACUUAUAGUAAAUUAUUUGAGAAGACUUCAUUGUAUUGAUUUAAACUUCAUCAUAUUGAUUUUGCUAUUAAUUCUAAGGUGACCAAGGAUCAAUUGGGUUGCCAGGAAUCAGAGGCCCAGCUGGGCCACCUGGUGAACCUGGACCUCCAGGAGUACCAGGGCUUCAAGGACCACCAGGAAUUGCAGGAAUUCCAGGCCAGCCUGGCAUUAAAGGUGACACUGGAGAACCUGGCAGAGUUAUUAAUGCUGCAGUGGGAUCUAGCUCUAUAGCAAUCCCUGGACCACCUGGACCCCCUGGACCAACUGGACAAACUGGAGCUCCAGGAUUGUCAGGUCCUGUUGGCCCUGCUGGUCUUCCUGGACAACCUGGUCCUAAAGGUGAAAAAGGUGAUCAAGGAGAAGCUGGAAUCUCAGUGGAAACCAGGGAGACAGUCAGCUCCACUAGAUCUGAGAGUAAAUGCCUCUAA